CCUACGGGUGGCAGCAGUAGGGAAUUUUCGUCAAUGGGCGCAAGCCUGAACGAGCGAUGCCGCGUGAGUGAAGAAGGCCAUCCGGUCGUAAAGCUCCGUUGCGGGGGAAAAAAGGCAGCACCAGGAAAUGGGUGCUUACUGAUGGUGCACCGCCAGAAAGUCACGGCUAACUACGUGCAAGCAGCCGCGGUAAUACGUAGGUGGGGAGCGCUAUCCGGAUUGAUUGGGCGGAAAGGGUACGCAGGCGGUCCUGCAAGUCUGGCGUGAAACGGAUGAGCUCAACUCAUGCAUGGCUUUGGAAACUGGAGGACUGGAGAGCAGGAGAGGGCGGUGGAACUCCAUGUGUAGCGGUAAAAUGCGUAGAUAUAUGGAAGAACACCAGUGGCGAAGGCGGCCGCCUGGCCUGUUGCUGACGCUGAGGCACGAAAGCGUGGGGAGCAAAUAGGAUUAGAUACCCGAGUAGUC
RNAcentral lists this ribosomal RNA (465 nucleotides) under uncultured bacterium. RNAcentral's name for it is "partial 16S ribosomal RNA". It matches the Rfam family "Bacterial small subunit ribosomal RNA", at positions 338 to 795 of the family's 1533-position model. The record is from RNAcentral.